This 484-nucleotide ribosomal RNA is filed under the name uncultured bacterium. Its description in RNAcentral is "partial 16S ribosomal RNA". It matches the Rfam family "Bacterial small subunit ribosomal RNA", at positions 28 to 507 of the family's 1533-position model. The record is from RNAcentral.
AUUGAACGCUGGCGGCAUGCUUUACACAUGCAAGUCGAACGGCAGCGCGGGCUUCGGCCUGGCGGCGAGUGGCGAACGGGUGAGUAAUGCAUCGGAACGUGCCCAGUAGUGGGGGAUAGCCCGGCGAAAGCCGGAUUAAUACCGCAUACGACCUGCGGGUGAAAGCGGGGGACCGAAAGGCCUCGCGCUAUUGGAGCGGCCGAUGUCGGAUUAGCUAGUUGGUGGGGUAAAUGCUUACCAAGGCGACGAUCCGUAGCUGGUCUGAGAGGACGACCAGCCACACUGGGACUGAGACACGGACCAGACUCCUACGGGAGGCAGCAGUGGGGAAUUUUGGACAAUGGGGGCAACCCUGAUCCAGCCAUGCCGCGUGCGGGAAGAAGGCCUUCGGGUUGUAAACCGCUUUUGUUCGGGAAGAAAUCCUCUGGGCUAAUACCCCGGGGGGAUGACGGUACCGGAAGAAUAAGCACCGGCUAACUACGUG